AUCAAUGAGGUGUAGUGGAGCUGAGAGCCUGAGACCCUAUUUAAUAGGGAGAACCCCUCAGUGAAGCUACAUUCAUAUGAUAUUACUGGAUUCAACUGAGGU
Molecule: small nucleolar RNA, 102 nt
Organism: Amaranthus tricolor (Joseph's coat)
Lineage: Eukaryota; Viridiplantae; Streptophyta; Magnoliopsida; Caryophyllales; Amaranthaceae
Product: small nucleolar RNA Z278
Exons: 1
Source: RefSeq, a predicted model, not a curated record